CACCUGUUUAUCAAAAACAUGUCUUAUUGAUUAUAAUUUUAAGUCUAAUUUGCUCAAUGGAAAUUUGAAUGGCUGCAGUAUCAAUAACUGUACAAAGGUAGCAUAAUAAUUAGUUUUUUAAUUGAAAACUAGAAUGAAAGAUUAAAUGAAAUAUAAAUUUUAUAAAUAAAAUAAAAAUUUAAAUUAAAUUUUAAGUUAAAAUUCUCAAAUAUUAUUAAAAGACGAGAAGACCCUUUAGAACUUUAUAUUAAUUAUAUUAAAUGUAUAAUAAUUCUAAUAUAAAUUAUUAAUUAAUAUUUAAUUGGGGUAAUUUUAUAAUUAAAUAAACUUUUAAAUAAUUAUUACAUAAAUUAAUGAAUUUAUAAACCUAAAUUUUAGUAUUUUAAAAUAAAUUACCUUAGGGAUAACAGCGUAAUUUUUUUUGAAAGUUCACAUUUAUAAAAAAGAUUGCGACCUCGAUGUUGAAUUAAGAUUAAAUUAAAAGCAAAAAUUUAAUAUUUUAAGUCUGUUCGACUUUUAAAAUCU
This 525-nucleotide ribosomal RNA is filed under the name Diaeretiella rapae. RNAcentral describes it as "partial 16S ribosomal RNA". The record is from RNAcentral. Lineage: Eukaryota; Metazoa; Arthropoda; Insecta; Hymenoptera; Braconidae.